AACGAACGCUGGCGGCAUGCCUAACACAUGCAAGUCGAACGAGACCUUCGGGUCUAGUGGCGCACGGGUGCGUAACGCGUGGGAACCUGCCCUUAGGUUCGGAAUAACUCCCCGAAAGGGGUGCUAAUACCGGAUAAUGUCUUCGGACCAAAGAUUUAUCGCCUUUGGAUGGGCCCGCGUUGGAUUAGCUAGUUGGUAGGGUAAAAGCCUACCAAGGCGACGAUCCAUAGCUGGUCUGAGAGGAUGAUCAGCCACACUGGGACUGAGACACGGCCCAGACUCCUACGGGAGGGAGCAGUGGGGAAUAUUGGACAAUGGGCGAAAGCCUGAUCCAGCAAUGCCGCGUGAGUGAUGAAGGCCUUAGGGUUGUAAAGCUCUUUUACCCGGGAUGAUAAUGACAGUACCGGGAGAAUAAGCACCGGCUAACUCCGUG
Molecule: ribosomal RNA, 433 nt
Filed under: uncultured bacterium
Lineage: Bacteria
Description: partial 16S ribosomal RNA
Rfam family: Bacterial small subunit ribosomal RNA
Source: RNAcentral